This 2483-nucleotide small RNA is filed under the name Pongo abelii (Sumatran orangutan). RNAcentral's name for it is "processed transcript". The record is from RNAcentral. Lineage: Eukaryota; Metazoa; Chordata; Mammalia; Primates; Hominidae.
AAUCCAGGCAGCGCCACGCGCGGCCGGGGCCGGGCGGAACCGAGAAGAAGCCGGGCCCGCGCUGCGACGCGCCGCCCGCAUGGAGCCCGCCGCCGGUUUCCUGUCCCCGCGCCCCUUCCAGCGUGCGGCUGCCGCGCCCGCUCCCCCGGCCGGGCCCGGGCCGCCUCCGAGUGCCUUGCCCGGACCUGAGCUGGAGGUGCUGGCCGGGCUACCGACGUCAGACCCCGGGCGCCUCAUCACGGACCCGCGCAGCGGCCGCACCUACCUCAAAGGCCGCUUGUUGGGCAAGGGGGGCUUCGCCCGCUGCUACGAGGCCACUGACACAGAGACUGGCAGCGCCUACGCUGUCAAAGUCAUCCCGCAGAGCCGCGUCGCCAAGCCGCAUCAGCGCGAGAAGAUCCUAAAUGAGAUUGAGCUGCACCGAGACCUGCAGCACCGCCACAUCGUGCGUUUUUCGCACCACUUUGAGGACGCUGACAACAUCUACAUUUUCUUGGAGCUCUGCAGCCGAAAGUCCCUGGCCCACAUCUGGAAAGCCCGGCACACCCUGUUAGAGCCAGAAGUGCGCUACUACCUGCGGCAGAUCCUUUCCGGCCUCAAGUACUUGCACCAGCGCGGCAUCUUGCACCGGGACCUCAAGUUGGGAAAUUUUUUCAUCACUGAGAACAUGGAACUGAAGGUGGGGGAUUUUGGGCUGGCAGCCCGGUUGGAGCCUCCGGAGCAGAGGAAGAAGACCAUCUGUGGCACCCCCAACUAUGUGGCUCCAGAAGUGCUGCUGAGACAGGGCCACGGCCCUGAGGCGGAUGUAUGGUCACUGGGCUGUGUCAUGUACACGCUGCUCUGCGGGAGCCCUCCCUUUGAGACGGCUGACCUGAAGGAGACGUACCGCUGCAUCAAGCAGGUUCACUACAUGCUGCCUGCCAGCCUCUCACUGCCUGCCCGGCAGCUCCUGGCUGCCAUCCUUCGGGCCUCACCCCGAGACCGCCCCUCUAUUGACCAGAUCCUGCGCCAUGACUUCUUUACCAAGGGCUAUACCCCCGAUCAACUCCCUAUCAGCAGCUGCGUGACAGUCCCAGACCUGACACCCCCCAACCCAGCUAGGAGUCUGUUUGCCAAAGUUACCAAGAGCCUCUUUGGCAGAAAGAAGAACAAGAGUAAGAAUCAUGCCCAGGAGAGGGACGAGGUCUCCGGUUUGGUGAGCGGCCUCAUGCGCACAUCCGUUGGCCAUCAGGAUGCCAGGCCAGAGGCUCCAGCAGCUUCUGGCCCAGCCCCUGUCAGCCUGGUAGAGACAGCACCUGAAGACAGCUCACCCCGUGGGACACUGGCAAGCAGUGGAGAUGGAUUUGAAGAAGGUCUGACUGUGGCCACAGUAGUGGAGUCAGCCCUUUGUGCUCUGAGAAACUGUGUAGCCUUCAUGCCCCCAGCGGAACAGAACCCGGCCCCCCUGGCCCAGCCAGAGCCUCUGGUGUGGGUCAGCAAGUGGGUUGACUACUCCAAUAAGUUCGGCUUUGGGUAUCAACUGUCCAGCCGCCGUGUGGCUGUGCUCUUCAACGAUGGCACACAUAUGGCCCUGUCGGCCAACAGAAAGUAAGUGCUGUUAUGGGGUGCCUUGUAUUCAGGCCACUAAUCCAGCAGGGCCGCACCCUCGUGUGUGCUCCUGGGCUCAGGGGUCUGGGUUUCUCAGGGGAGGGGCAUUGGUGCAGGGCUCUCUCUGACCUCUGCCUCCCCAUUCUAGGACUGUGCACUACAACCCCACCAGCACAAAGCACUUCUCCUUCUCCGUGGGGGCUGUGCCCCGGGCCCUGCAGCCUCAGCUGGGUAUCCUGCGGUACUUCGCCUCCUACAUGGAGCAGCACCUCAUGAAGGGUGGAGAUCUGCCCAGUGUGGAAGAGGUAGAGGUACCUGCUCCGCCCUUGCUGCUGCAGUGGGUCAAGACGGAUCAGGCUCUCCUCAUGCUGUUUAGUGACGGCACUGUCCAGGUGAACUUCUACGGGGACCACACCAAGCUGAUUCUCAGUGGCUGGGAGCCCCUCCUUGUGACUUUUGUGGCCCGAAAUCGUAGUGCUUGUACUUACCUCGCUUCCCACCUUCGGCAGCUGGGCUGCUCUCCAGACCUGCGGCAAAGACUCCGCUAUGCUCUGCGCCUACUCCGGGACCGCAGCCCAGCCUAGGACUCAAGCUCUGAGGCCUGAGGCCUGUGCCUGUAAGGCUCUGGCCCUUGCCUUUGUGGCCCUCCCCCUUCCUUUGGUGCCUCACUGGGGGCUUUGGGCCGAAUCCCCCAGGCAAUCAGGGACCAGCUUUACCGGAGUUGGGGGCAGCUUGUCUUCGCUGGCUCCUACCCCCUCUCCAAGAUAAGCCUGAGCCUUAGCUCCCAGCUAGGGGGCGUUAUUUAUGGACCACUUUUAUUUAUUGUCAGACACUUAUUUAUUGGGAUGUGAGCCCCAGGGGGGCCUCCUCCUAGGAUAAUAAACAAUUUUGCAGAA